RNAcentral lists this transfer-messenger RNA (370 nucleotides) under Propionibacteriaceae. RNAcentral describes it as "Microlunatus_C panaciterrae Standard tmRNA". It matches the Rfam family "transfer-messenger RNA". Rfam says of the family: Bacterial tmRNA, also known as 10Sa RNA or SsrA, is named for its dual tRNA and mRNA-like properties. Its role is to liberate the mRNA from a stalled ribosome. The record is from RNAcentral. Lineage: Bacteria; Bacillati; Actinomycetota; Actinomycetes; Propionibacteriales. RNAcentral also lists the same sequence under 1 other name.
GGGGGUGAUCGGUUUCGACUUGGGACGAUAGUCCCAGGAGAAGCGGGCCGAGAAUCCAGGGUUAUCUCGUUAACGUUCCUUGGAAACCAAUAAGUGCCAACUCUAAGCGCACUGACUUCGCUCUCGCUGCUUAAGCAGUGACCGAAGGGUCAGACCGGGAGCGCCUCCGUCCCGGACCCUGGCCUCAUCAAGGAGGCUUACCUGUCAGGAAUGGCCGCAGGGCCUGAUAGGGAAAGCAACAGCGGCUGAGCCUGUCUCACACCUUGCCAGCGUGAGUGUGGGGGCUAAGAAAAUCUGCUAGCUGGCUGCGCCCGGAGAAGUCCUGGUUCGUCGCUCGAGGACGCGGGUUCGAUUCCCGCCACCUCCACUC